AUGCAGUCGAGCGCCCUUUUCGGAGGGAGCGGCAGACGGGUGAGUAACGCGUGGGAAUCUACCAUUUGCUACGGAACAACAGUUGGAAACGACUGCUAAUACCGUAUGUGCCCCCCUUUAAAAUUCCAGGAAACAUAAAAUGCCCUGGCAUUUUAUGGGGGGGAAAGAUUUAUCGGCAAAUGAUGAGCCCGCGUUGGAUUAGCUAGUUGGUGAGGUAAAGGCUCACCAAGGCGACGAUCCAUAGCUGGUCUGAGAGGAUGAUCAGCCACACUGGGACUGAGACACGGCCCAGACUCCUACGGGAGGCAGCAGUGGGGAAUAUUGGACAAUGGGCGCAAGCCUGAUCCAGCCAUGCCGCGUGAGUGAUGAAGGCCCUAGGGUUGUAAAGCUCUUUCACCGGUGAAGAUAAUGACGGUAACCGGAGAAGAAGCCCCGGCUAACUUCGUGCCAGCAGCCGCGGUAAUACGAAGGGGGCUAGCGUUGUUCGGAUUUACUGGGCGUAAAGCGCACGUAGGCGGACUUUUAAGUCAGGGGUGAAAUCCCGGGGGCUCAACCCCCAGAACUGCCUUUUGAUACUGGAA
RNAcentral lists this ribosomal RNA (581 nucleotides) under Brucella daejeonensis. RNAcentral's name for it is "bacterial SSU rRNA". It matches the Rfam family "Bacterial small subunit ribosomal RNA", at positions 55 to 638 of the family's 1533-position model. The record is from RNAcentral. Lineage: Bacteria; Pseudomonadati; Pseudomonadota; Alphaproteobacteria; Hyphomicrobiales; Brucellaceae.